UCUGUCCCUAGACCCAUUGCAGGUAUGGCUACUGUGUCACAUGUGCAGCAGUAGGUGGCAGAGAGGAGAGAGGCUGUGUCUACACUCAGUGCUCUGACCUAUGAACAUCUGAAUGAUUAGUAGCCUAAUAUU
Small nucleolar RNA from Acomys russatus (golden spiny mouse), 132 nucleotides. RefSeq annotates it as small nucleolar RNA SNORA17. The record is from RefSeq and is a predicted model, not a curated record. NCBI's taxonomy places the organism in Eukaryota, Metazoa, Chordata, Mammalia, Rodentia, Muridae. The transcript has a single exon.